CCUACGGGAGGCAGCAGUAGGGAAUAUUGCUCAAUGGGGGAAACCCUGAAGCAGCAACGCAGCGUGGAGGAUGAAGGUUUUCGGAUUGUAAACCCCUUUUGUUAGAGAAGAAAAUGACGGUAUCUAACGAAUAAGCACAGGCUAACUCCGUGCCAGCAGCCGCGGUAAUACGGAGGGUGCAAGCGUUACUCGGAAUCACUGGGCGUAAAGAGCGCGUAGGGGGGAUAGCAAGUCAGUUGUGAAAUCCUUUGGCUUAACCAUAGAACUGCAUUUGAAACUGUUAUUCUUGAGUAUGGGAGAGGUAGGUGGAAUUCGUGGUGUAGCGGUGAAAUCCGUAGAGAUCAAGAAGAAUUCUCAUUGCGAAGGCGACCUACUAGAACAUAACUGACGCUGAUGCGCGAAAGCGUGGGUAGCAAACAGGAUUAGAUACCCUUGUAGUC
RNAcentral lists this ribosomal RNA (440 nucleotides) under uncultured bacterium. RNAcentral describes it as "partial 16S ribosomal RNA". It matches the Rfam family "Bacterial small subunit ribosomal RNA", at positions 338 to 795 of the family's 1533-position model. The record is from RNAcentral.